AAGGCCAAUUUCUGGCCUUGGAGGCUGCAGCAGCAGCAGCAGCACCUGGAGCUCAGGAUAAAACAGGGGGGCCAAAAACCUGAGCCCCCACCUCACCACCGAGCUUCCAGUGUGUCAGGAGAACCACACUGCACACAGCCUGCCCUGACCUGCGGCCAUGACUGGGAACUCAUCCCAUCUGCAACCAUGAGGGCCACUGGAAGUGUGACUGCCCUGUCCACCAGACAGCGGGUCAGUGGUCACCUUCCUGCCUUCACAGGAUGUUGACGCUGCUGCCUGGGACUCAGGACCUGUCACUGGCUCGGCGUCACUGCUGAGAGGAUGAGCUGGGGCUCUGGCCCAUGGCCUCACCAGGUCUCCCUCAGAGCCCCGAGUCUCUCUGGACAUCCCAGAUGGUGCCCACGGCUGAUCCCGAUGGUGACCCUACCUUCCCAGCCUUCCCACUUCACCCCAAGCCAUCCUGAAGCAGCCAAAAAGACCUCAUCACCAGACUCCUAAAAACAAAAGGCUGGAGUAAAGGGUCAGCCUGUCCCCUGAACCUGUUCAUGCUUGGGUUGCAAGAAGACAAACUUUCCAGAACCAAAAGUCAACCCUGCCCAGGAGGGAACCUGAAGACACCCGUGUCACACCUGGCUCACCCGCAGAGACACUCCCCCAGCAUAACCCUUAAAAACCCUUUCCCCAAGCAAACGGGCUGCCUUGGUCUGCAUGGCAGUCCACCCCCUGCCCAAUAAAGCUUCUCUCUUGCGGCA
Molecule: long non-coding RNA, 752 nt
Organism: Cavia porcellus (domestic guinea pig)
Lineage: Eukaryota; Metazoa; Chordata; Mammalia; Rodentia; Caviidae
Exons: 2
Source: RefSeq, a predicted model, not a curated record